UUUGUAUUACGUGCGGAAAUUGUUACCAUUUUCGGCUCAAUAAUGGUAACAAUUUCCGCACGUAAUACAAA
This 71-nucleotide microRNA precursor is filed under the name Paramuricea clavata. Lineage: Eukaryota; Metazoa; Cnidaria; Anthozoa; Malacalcyonacea; Plexauridae. The record is from RNAcentral.